ACACAGACUAACCUUGUCUCAGAAAACAAAACAAGAUUGAAAAAAGGAAGGACUUAUUUUUAAGAGAUGUGCUAUGAAAUAAUACCAUUGAAAACAAACUCCGAUUUCGACUAGUAUAUAGGGUUUUGGUUUUAUGAAAGUGGUUCAUGAAUGAUAUUUAACUGUUUCAAGGUGACAUAUUUAAUUAAGGUAGGUGUCAUUUUAAAGUGAUUUAUUGCCACUGACUGUGAAAUUAGCUGAUUGUAUUAGCUAGUUUGUAGAAUUUAAUUUAUGCAUAUUUCUGCUUUCCCCAAUGUCUUUACAUUUUCUUGUGUGUGAUAACAACAAAAGCCAAAUACAUGUGAGCAAUAAAACCUGGGGACAGUUCACAUCCCCUGAGUGUGGCGCCCACUCCUUUACCUGUCUGUUUUCCUUAUUUAUUACAAACAGCUUUAAGGUAUCAUAUGUGUGUUUGUGUAUGGAUGUUUCUUGUAAUCAUUUAUGUUUGCACGUUAUACAGUAGGAUUAUUUUAUAUAUGUAUGUAUGUAGUCUUCAGUGACAUUUUUAUUCUUGUUUUGUUUUGAGGCAGAGUCUUCUGUUGUAUCUUUGGCAGGCCUGGAACUCCUAGAGCUCUGCCUGCCUCGUCCUUCUGAGCGCCUGAAUUAGUUUUCAUCCUGUUGCCUUGUGUGUGCCCCUUCCACUGUCAUUGAACAUCCCAUCAAGACAAUAAAUAUAAGCUCUUGCUAUUUAAUAUUUGAUUAAAAUUCUUCUUAGUUUUAUCUGUUUUAACUCACAAGUUUCAACAUGGGCAUCUUUGAGAAGUUGUAAAUUAUGAGUUUUCUAGGAGGUGGAAUGUGUUUGACUUUGGAUUUCAGAAAUAAUUUUAUAGGCUGUUUCCCUGAAAGUUAUUGUUUUAUUUAUGCAACAUAUUCUUUGUUUUAGAUUUUCAGAGUUCUCUGGCGAGUGACCAUUUUGUUUUUAGUCUGUGAAUUUACAUUCAUUACUAAUGCCAUUGAAACUCUGUGAAACUUUCACACUUGAAAAUAAUAGAAUGUCACUAUUUAAAAUGUAAAAUGUCCAAUGCUGGAAAAUGUCCUAAUACUCUUACUGUUGGCAAGUUCCCAAGUUUAAACUAGAUUGUGUCAGUUUUUAAAAUAAAUUCUAGUGUCAUUUCAAAACCUAGAUAAAAAAAGGAGAAUGAAAACAUUGAACAGUUGUCUUUUCUGUCACGGGGCAAGCUUGUGUUAUACAAGUCUGCAUUUUGUCUCUGUUUCCUGUCAGCGUCUCAUGUGUGUGGUGUCGGAGGCUUAACUGAAAACAAGCUGUGGGCUCAGGAGGUGGCUCUGUCAGUUCUGCCCGCUUGCUUCUGCUUCUUUGCAGUUCUGAGGGUCUGAGUUUAGGUUCCUGACCCCUGGCUAAAGCCUGGUGCACAGCACAGCAGAGGUGUAGAUGAGAGGCGUGAGGAUUCCUGGAGCUUGCUGUUAGCUACUGUACUUUACUCGGGAGAUAGAGGUUCUAGGCCAGAGAGAGACCCAGCUCAGACAAGGGAAGGAAGGAAGGUGUCUGAGGAGUGACCCUUGAUGGCUUUUUCUGACAUCCAUGUACGCUGGUACCCUGCACAUAUGAAUACAUGCACACAAAGU
Molecule: long non-coding RNA, 1623 nt
Filed under: Mus pahari (shrew mouse)
Lineage: Eukaryota; Metazoa; Chordata; Mammalia; Rodentia; Muridae
Description: lncRNA (MGP_PahariEiJ_G0032967.1)
Source: RNAcentral